Perca fluviatilis (European perch) is the source of this 262-nucleotide long non-coding RNA. RefSeq lists it as uncharacterized. The record is from RefSeq and is a predicted model, not a curated record. The transcript is spliced from 3 exons. NCBI's taxonomy places the organism in Eukaryota, Metazoa, Chordata, Actinopteri, Perciformes, Percidae.
CGGACCCAUGCCCCCGUGCGUUGGAUCUGCUGACCAUCAGAUUUUUCCAAACCCUGCGCCGAAAAAGGAACAUCGGUACAACUGGGAGCUGGAAGUUACAGGAUCCCCAUGGAAAGGCAGCCCCUGGUGGUCUCAGCAGUAGCUACCUUACCGGAAAAGGCCAAGAACAAAAAAGGUGUCUGAGAUGCCUUCCCCUGGUUGAGAGAGACACCGGUUUAAUAUCUGAAUGACUCACCUGCGUGGAGCAGGCAGCAUCAUGGGA